AUAAGGAAAGUAAAGAAGGGCGCAUGGCGGAUGCCUUGGCUCUCGGAGGCGAUGAAGGACGUGAUAAGCUGCGAUAAGCUUUGGGGAGGUGCAAAUGACCUUUGAUCCAGAGAUUUCCGAAUGGGACAACCCAAUAUCUUGAAGAGGUAUUAUCCAACGUUGUUGGAGGCUAACGCAGGGAACUGAAACAUCUUAGUACCUGCAGGAAAAGAAAAUAAACAAUGAUUCCCCCAGUAGUGGCGAGCGAACGGGGAACAGCCCAAACCAUCCAUGUUACGGCAUGGGUGGGGUUGUAGGACUACGCCGUUGCAUGAAGACAUCAGAGAAGAACUUUCUGGAAAGAAAGACCAUAGAGCAUGACAGUUGCGUAUUCGAAUGUUGUCGAAGCAUAGUAGUAUCCUGAGUAGCGCGGAGCACGAGGAAUUCUGCGUGAAUCUGCCGGGACCAUCCGGUAAGGCUAAAUACUCCCGAGAGACCGAUAGCGAACCAGUACCGUGAGGGAAAGGUGAAAAGCACUUCGAACAGAAGAGUGAAAUAGUUCCUGAAACCGUGCGCCUACAAGCGGUCGGAGCUCGUUAAUGAGUGACGGCGUGCCUUUUGCAUAAUGAACCUACGAGUUGCCUUUGCCGGCAAGGUUAAGUGUGACGACACACGUAUCCGAAGCGAAAGCGAGUCUGAAGAGGGCGUAUAGUCGGCAGUGGCAGACGCGAAACCAAGUGAUCUACCCUUGGCCAGGUUGAAGGCUGGGUAACACCAGCUGGAGGACCGCACCAAUAAGCGUUGAAAAGCUUCUGGAUGAGCUGAGGGUAGGGGUGAAAGGCUAAUCAAACUUGGAGAUAGCUCGUACUCCCCGAAAUGCAUUUAGGUGCAGCCUUGCGGGUUACUGAUGUGAGGUAGAGCGACUGAUAAGAUGCGAGGGCUUCACCGCCUAUCAAGUCUUGACAAACUCCGAAUGCGCAUCAGUUCUACCGCAGGAGUGAGGGCAUGGGUGCUAAGGUCCGUGCCCGAGAGGAGAAGAAUCCGGACCACCUGCUAAGGUCCCGAAAUGACAGCUAAGUUAAACUAACGAAGUCUGACUGCUAAGACAGCUAGGAUGUUGGCUUGGAAGCAGCCAUUCAUUUAAAGAGUGCGUAACAGCUCACUAGUCGAGGAGUCGGGCGUGGAUAAUAAUCGGGUAUGAAGUUGUCUACCGAAGCAGUGGGAUCAUUUAUAUGAUCGGUAGGGGAGCAUUCCAGUCGGCGUCGAAGGCGUACCGUGAGGUAUUCUGGAGCGUCUGGAAAAGCAAAUGUAGGUAUAAGUAACGAUAAAGGGGGCGGGAAACCCCCUCGCCGAAAGACUAAGGUUUCCUGAUCAACGCUAAUCGGAUCAGGGUCAGUCGGGUCCUAAGGCUCAGCCGAACGGCGAUGCCGAUGGCAGAAACGGUUAAUAUUCCGUUACUACCUUCAGGAGUGACGUGGAGACGCAGUAGUGACAGUGCCGCCAUCUGACGGAAUAGAUGGUUGAAGGGUGUAGGAGUCGAUCAUGGCAGGCAAAUCCACCAUGAGAUCCGAACCUGAUAGUAUGCCGCGUCCUUCGGGACAAGGCAAUAGUGCGCGUAAGCAUGCUGCCGAGAAAAUCCGCUAAACUUAAUCCUGCAGGUACCCGUACCGCAAACGGACACACGUAGUCGGGAUGAAUAUUCUAAGGCGCUUGAGUGAUUCACGGUUAAGGAACUAGGCAAACUGACCCUGUAACUUCGGGAUAAAGGGUCCCUACCCUUUUAUGGGAGGGCGCAGAGAAUCGGUCCAGGCAACUGUUUAACAAAAACACAGGGCUGUGCCAAAUCGAAAGAUCCAGUAUACAGCCUGACACCUGCCCGGUGCUGGAAGGUUAAGAGGAGAUGUCAUCGAUAAGAGAAGCGUUGAAUUGAAGCCCC
RNAcentral lists this ribosomal RNA (1915 nucleotides) under Salmonella enterica subsp. enterica serovar Enteritidis. Its description in RNAcentral is "partial 23S ribosomal RNA". It matches the Rfam family "Bacterial large subunit ribosomal RNA", at positions 1 to 1921 of the family's 2925-position model. Lineage: Bacteria; Pseudomonadati; Pseudomonadota; Gammaproteobacteria; Enterobacterales; Enterobacteriaceae. The record is from RNAcentral.